GUACUGUUUAUAUAUAUCUUGUUGCAUUCACCCAAACCGAUGCAGAGUCGAUGUGAUGGGGGUUUCGGGCGAGCCGUCGCGAGAACGGCCACACCCUCAUGGUGCACAUUAAGGGUCGAUAGACGAGUCGGAGGGCGAGCACGACGGGCGGACCCGUCAGCGUCGAAACCCCCCUUUUCGUGAAUACGGUAAUGAUCCUUCCGCAGGUUCACCUACGGAAA
This 221-nucleotide unclassified non-coding RNA is filed under the name uncultured fungus. RNAcentral describes it as "sequence contains ITS1". The record is from RNAcentral. Lineage: Eukaryota; Fungi.